Molecule: ribosomal RNA, 85 nt
Filed under: uncultured bacterium
Lineage: Bacteria
Description: partial 16S ribosomal RNA
Source: RNAcentral
ACAAAAGCAGUUUACAAUCCGAAGACCUUCAUCCUGCACGCGGCAUGGCUGGAUCAGGGUUGCCCCCAUUGUCCAAAAUUCCCCA